RNAcentral lists this ribosomal RNA (64 nucleotides) under Terriglobia bacterium. RNAcentral describes it as "Solibacteres bacterium partial 16S ribosomal RNA". The record is from RNAcentral. Lineage: Bacteria; Pseudomonadati; Acidobacteriota; Terriglobia.
UUUCAAACGAGAGUUUGAUCCCGGCUCAGAAUCAACGCUGGCGGCGCGCCUAACACAUGCAAGU